This 253-nucleotide ribosomal RNA is filed under the name uncultured bacterium. Its description in RNAcentral is "partial 16S ribosomal RNA". It matches the Rfam family "Bacterial small subunit ribosomal RNA", at positions 524 to 776 of the family's 1533-position model. The record is from RNAcentral.
UACGUAGGGCGCAAGCGUUAUCCGGAAUUAUUGGGCGUAAAGAGCUCGUAGGCGGUUUGUCGCGUCUGCUGUGAAAGUCCAGGGCUCAACCCUGGGAUGCCGGUGGAUACUGUCGGGCUCGAGUCCGGAAGAGGAGUGUGGAAUUCCUGGUGUAGCGGUGAAAUGCGCAGAUAUCAGGAGGAACACCAAUGGCGAAGGCAGCACUCUGGGACGUGACUGACGCUGAGACGCGAAAGCGUGGGGAGCAAACAGG